Molecule: long non-coding RNA, 1655 nt
Organism: Armigeres subalbatus
Lineage: Eukaryota; Metazoa; Arthropoda; Insecta; Diptera; Culicidae
Exons: 3
Source: RefSeq, a predicted model, not a curated record
UGGUCACUCAUUUCGCUGUAUGCUUUAGACUGGCGCAACCAUAACCGGCCGCCUUGAAAUCCCUAGUUUCAAAACCUCCUGCUCUAACCAGUGUGUGUUUUCAACAAAUACGGUAAACAGAUGUUCAAUAUACUUCUUACAAACUAUCUAUAUACUAACACUGAUGCUGUAAUUGUUGAUCCAGGUGCCGGAGCUUCGGCACAACGAUGACGGCGAUGAUGAUUCCGUUUCAACAGAUGUGGUAUAUGUAGUAUUCACCGACUGAUGCUGAUCGCUCGAUGAUUCAGACGUGCAGUUCAUUGUUGUUCGUUUUCCUCGACAAAGUGAAGAUUAGAUGUAGUAUCGUGUAGAAAUUUUGGUAAAACUGGAACAACUUACCUGGCAGACAAAUAACAAUGCCUGAAUUUGUUCCGUUGGAUAAAAGCUGUCUGCCAGGCCUCGUGAUUUGAUGAUAAGAUUUCCAUGCAAAUUAACAAUGAUGUUUCCGAUUGAUGACUUGUUGAUGCUGCUCUGAUGACUUGACGUUGACCUUGGUAGUUGCUUUGUGGUUGACUCACAACAGCUUCUUCUUGACAGUGGAUCCGAUGAACCAAGAAUACGAUUUAAAAAUUGACUCGAUGGAUGACGGUGACGAUUUACGGCGGAUGCCGGCUUGAACAGCCUUCGAAUAAACGGAGAUUGAACCUUCUACUAUUUCUUCGGGGAUGACUGGGACGGUGAUGUUGUCGAUGAUUAGUUUGCCUCGAUGAUUGGGAAAAACGAAUGAAGUAUCGCGUAGAAAAAAAUUGAAAACUGGAACAACUUACCUGGCAGACAAUUUGUGGUGCCUGAUUUGUUUCUUUUUGUGAUUAGUUGUCUGCCAGGCCUCCAAAGGUGGGUUGGACUUGAUGACUUGAUUAGGCCGCCUUCUACCUGACUUCUUGACUCUGGUUCCGUUGACAGAGACGUUUACGAGUCGAACGACGACUUCAACGAAUAAACGGGGACUUGACUCUCGACGAUUUUCCAUUUAAACAGGACGAUGACUGAUGAGCUGAUCUCUUCGAAUGGCACUUAUGGGUCGUGCCAUGACUUGAAACACAGCGAUUGUGUAGAUCGACUUGGGUUAUGCUUGGUGGACUGAGGCGGUCCAUGCCGUUGUGCUGAUGGUCUCUUAAUAAAAUGAGAGGGUGCUUUUUAGUCUAUAAUACUGAAAAUGAAAAUGACUUGCCUGGACGGAGGCUCUAGGGCCUCCGUUGGACGCCCGAGCGGCGCCGACGAUCCUCCUCUCUUGUUGAAUUUUGAAGAAUCGGAAUGUAUUGAUGUGUUUGUUUGACGAGGAUAACCACAGUACGAGUUCAGGGAGGCAGAAUUGAGCACUUCUACCUCUGUUGAUUGCAUCGAAUUGUACCUCAAAAUACCAAAUGUGUUUUUGGGUUUUAAUCGCAGGACAAGACCAAACACAACCAAAUAGCUAGACUGACUGACGAAACUGGAUUCACAUGCAACUUCCACCAACGACAACGACACAUAUUACCUCAGUUUAUGGACAUUAUUGGACGUAACACAACUCAGUUCGUUUGAGUGUCAUAUAUUUGGCCAAGCCAAAUUCAGGAGGCAUGUCUGAGGAAAAUGAGAUGGUCACUUUUUGAAUAUUAAACGAAUACAUAACUUAC